This 329-nucleotide unclassified non-coding RNA is filed under the name soil metagenome. RNAcentral's name for it is "partial contains 5.8S ribosomal RNA, internal transcribed spacer 2, and large subunit ribosomal RNA". The stretch from base 1 to 120 matches the Rfam family "5.8S ribosomal RNA", at positions 35 to 154 of the family's 154-position model. The record is from RNAcentral.
GAUGAAGAACGUAGCGAAAUGCGAUAAGUAGUGUGAAUUGCAGAAUUCAGUGAAUCAUCGAAUCUUUGAACGCACAUUGCGCCCUCUGGUAUUCCGGGGGGCAUGCCUGUUCGAGCGUCAUUAUAACCACUCAAGCUCUCGCUUGGUAUUGGAGUUCGCGAUCUCGCGGCUCCUAAAAUCAGUGGCGGUGCCUGUCGGCUCUACGCGUAGUAAUACUCCUCGCGAUUGAGUCCGGUAGGUUUACUUGCCAGCAACCCCCAAUUUUUACAGGUUGACCUCGGAUCAGGUAGGGAUACCCGCUGAACUUAAGCAUAUCAAUAAGCGGAGGA